GGGGAAUUAGCUCAGUUGGUAGAGCGUUUGCAUGGCAUGCAAGAGGUCAGCGGUUCGACCCCGCUAUUCUCCA
This 73-nucleotide transfer RNA is filed under the name Chitinophagaceae bacterium. Its description in RNAcentral is "tRNA-Ala". It matches the Rfam family "tRNA". From Rfam's summary of the family: Transfer RNA (tRNA) molecules are approximately 80 nucleotides in length. The record is from RNAcentral. Lineage: Bacteria; Pseudomonadati; Bacteroidota; Chitinophagia; Chitinophagales; Chitinophagaceae.